UCCUUCCGCAAGCCAUCAUGAUGUCCACUUGUUAGUCCUGAAGGGCAAGUGAGUGACACAGCAGGAAUUCAGAACUAAAUUGCAGGAGCAGAGCCUGGACACCAGCCAGUGAAGAGACACAUCCCCAGUUUAUGUGAAUCACAGGUAGGUCUCUGUGCCUCCACUACCUUCUUCUGACUCCUGCAAGGGCCUAGAAAUGUAUAAACGCUGCUCAGGACAAA
Molecule: long non-coding RNA, 221 nt
Filed under: Cyanistes caeruleus (blue tit)
Lineage: Eukaryota; Metazoa; Chordata; Aves; Passeriformes; Paridae
Description: lncRNA (ENSCCEG00000021519.1)
Source: RNAcentral